Molecule: long non-coding RNA, 2335 nt
Filed under: Lathyrus oleraceus (garden pea)
Lineage: Eukaryota; Viridiplantae; Streptophyta; Magnoliopsida; Fabales; Fabaceae
Description: Pisum sativum (pea) long non-coding RNA (PSAT_LNC004221)
Source: RNAcentral
AAUCCCCUUUUAAUAUAGUUUUUAAUGAAAGAAGAGAUAACAAUAUAGCUUUCCUUAUAAGCCAACAAAAGCGUCAAAAACGUUUUCAAUCCGUAACAUUUCUUUCUCCGCAUUAACCCUUUUUCAUUCUCUUUUUAUAAAUUCACAUUUUUCUUCUCCAUUUUUUCAUCUCAGAUCCAAAAUUCUCACAACAAUUCAUUCAUCCGAGAUGUGUUGUCCAGGUAGAGUUUGCAUGCUAUGCACGUGCUUGAUCAUGAUUGUGAUCGUGAUCGGGUUUCUGUUUGGAUUCGGUGUUUUCAAGCAUGGAUUUCAUAAAAUCAAAGAUACUGUUAGUUACUGCGACUCUUGCGGCGGUGUUGGCGGUGGAGGAAGGCCUUUCUUAGGUUAUGCGCCGCCGCCAUUGUUCUAGUUCAGUAUUUUUCUCUUAUUAUUCUCUUGUUCCGUUUGUUUUAGGUAAUUUCUAUUUUAUGGUUUAUUAAAAUUCGUAUUUGUAAUUAUCCGUUUAUUUGGAUUUUUAUGAUGAUUUUAUUAAUCAAGUUUCUUUGUUCUAGUGAUUAGUGUUUUAAAUUCUUUAUUCUUAUUCUCAAUCUAAUUCAUUUGAUAAAUGUGGAAUUGUUGGAAUUAUCCCAUCACCGAGUCAGCAUUUUCUUUUUUCAUUAAAAAUAUUUUAGUUGAAGAUUUUAUAUUUAAGAUUAAAAAAAGUUAUGGCUUUAGUUAUAUAAUUUUUAGCUUAUAGAUAUAAGAGUUUGGAACUCAUGACAUUAAAGAGUGGAUUUUAAAUAUUAGUCUAUUUAAAAUUGAUUAAAAAAAUAUGUGUAUUUUUUAAAACAAGAUUUUGUUAUUUAAAAAUAAUUAUUACUUAUGUAUUCUUGAUUUUUUUUAAAAACUUACAUAAAUGUUUUCGUAAGAAUGUAUAAUUCCUCAACUUGAAAAGUGAACGCUAAGCCAUUAAUUUUUUAUUGACUAUUUUUUAUACCUGUGAAUAAUUAUUGAUUUAUUUUAUAUCUAUGAAUAAAAAUUAUUGAUUUUUGUAAUACAAUGAAUGAAUGCCUUAUAUGAAAAUCUUAAUUAUAAGUUCGCGUAAUUUUUCUUUUAAAUUUAAUACUCACAAAAAGCUUUUUGAUUGAUUCAUGAAAAGUUAAAAUCACGAGUUCAUAAAUUUACAAAUUCUUAUCUUAAUCUGACGAUAUUCUUUUUUAAUGGCAAUGAACCUUAUCACCGAGGACUAGUGCUCGAACCUUAGUUUCUAAUUAUUAUUAUUUGUGUAAUGGUAUCAAUUUCAAUAAUGAAAUUUUUAACAAGCAAAAAUUGCAUCCCCACUUUUGAGAACAUAUUCCAUUUUGCAUUGAAAUGUUGAUACUUGGCAAUUGAGAAUGAAUCAAACAAAACAAGAAUCGUGCCCAUCAUGUAAAGUAUGUAACUAAUUUGUGGAGUAGGAUGAAAGACAUUUGGCUUUUGCAUUAAAGUGGGGUUAUCUUGUCAUGUGAUGUGGGCCAAUCACCUAAAUCUUCACAUUUCAUUCUCGUAGAGUUUCACAUUCUUCUCUCUUUCAUUUGUAACUUUUAAAUUAUCAUCAAAAUUUGUAUCAUACAAAUAACUAUAAGUAUAUAUGAAGAAUUUUUUUAUCAAAAUAAUCUAAUUUUUUAAGAAAUCAAAAUAAUCUUGUUUUUAAAAAAAUUUCAAAAGUAUCUCACUUAUAGGAGGAAGCGUCAAUUGAAUUGAUGAUUUCUCUUAAAAAUAUAGUGCAUGCGCCAAUUGGAUUGGCUAGGGCACAUGGUGCAGCCAAUUCAAUUGACACCCAUGUGUAUUUUUUCAAAGGAGACACCAAUUGGAUUGACAUCUCAGUGUAUUAUGCAUUUUUUUUUUGUUAUAAAUAGAGUUGUUGUGUGAAUCAUUUUUCCACAUCUCAUUUCAUCAUUUGGCAAUCAUGUUUGGUGUUCGUCGCCGCUAUGGAAAGGUGAUUUGUGCGAGAGACAAACCUCAGAUGUUGAUGAUCUUCUGGAACAUCACUAUUUUCGAUCAACUGAAGAGGGAGUUGGUUCGUUGGUUAGAUGGGAAAAUACCAGAAGGGAAAAAAAUUAGAAGUAUUGAGAGACUCGACCGUAUCUUUGGUUGGGUGCGAAUGAAAACUGAUAAGGAUGCUAGGGAAAUGAUGUUCGGACGAGAUGACAUUACUUUGAUUGUUGUAAUCAGUUAGAAAUAUUUUGUUUUCAGUUGGCUUAUGUUGUAGUGAUGUUUGUUCUGAACCUCGUUGUAACAAAAACUUAAUGAUAUAUAAAAAUUGAAGGUUACAAAAUACAAUGUUAAAAAAAGAUUAUGACCCAGAUGAUGCUCU